Molecule: ribosomal RNA, 372 nt
Filed under: uncultured organism
Description: bacterial SSU rRNA
Rfam family: Bacterial small subunit ribosomal RNA
Source: RNAcentral
CAGAGGGGGCAAGCGUUAUUCGGAAUUAUUGGGCGUAAAGGGCGCGUAGGCGGCUUUGCAAGUGACGGGUGAAAGCCCUCGGCUUAACCGAGGAACUGCCUGUCAGACUGUGAGGCUCGAGACCGGGAGAGGUGAGUGGAAUUCCCAGUGUAGCGGUGAAAUGCGUAGAUAUUGGGAGGAACACCAGUGGCGAAGGCGGCUCACUGGACCGGAACUGACGCUGAUGCGCGAAAGCGUGGGGAGCAAACAGGAUUAGAUACCCUGGUAGUCCACGCCGUAAACGAUGAGUGCUUGGUGUAGCGGGUAUCGACCCCUGCUGUGCCGAAGUCAACACAUUAAGCACUCCGCCUGGGGAGUACGGUCGCAAGACUG